UCCAAUUCGUUCUCUAUCGCCUGGCCCAUC
This 30-nucleotide small RNA is filed under the name Bombyx mori (domestic silkworm). Its description in RNAcentral is "ovarian small RNA-26616". The record is from RNAcentral. Lineage: Eukaryota; Metazoa; Arthropoda; Insecta; Lepidoptera; Bombycidae.